CCUACGGGAGGCAGCAGUGGGGGAUAUUGGACAAUGGGGGGAACCCUGAUCCAGCGACGCCGCGUGAGUGAAGAAGUAUUUCGGUAUGUAAAGCUCUGUCAGCAGGGAAGAAAGAAAUGACGGUACCUGACCAAGAAGCCCCGGCUAACUACGUGCCAGCAGCCGCGGUAAUACGUAGGGGGCAAGCGUUAUCCGGAAUUACUGGGUGUAAAGGGGGCGUAGACGGUUAAGUAAGUCUGGAGUGAAAGGCCGGGGCCCAACCCCGGGACUGCUCUGGAAACUAUUGAACUUGAGUGCAGGAGAGGUAAGCGGAAUUCCUAGUGUAGCAGUGAAAUGCGUAGAUAUUAGGAGGAACACCAGUGGCGAAGGCGGCUUACUGGACUGUAACUGACGUUGAGGCUCGAAAGCGUGGGGAGCGAACAGGAUUAGAUACCCCUGUAGUC
RNAcentral lists this ribosomal RNA (443 nucleotides) under uncultured bacterium. Its description in RNAcentral is "partial 16S ribosomal RNA". It matches the Rfam family "Bacterial small subunit ribosomal RNA", at positions 338 to 795 of the family's 1533-position model. The record is from RNAcentral.